GUCGAGGAGUAAGGAGUGAAAGAAAGUGAAGCGGAUCGCUGGACUGGGCUUGAGAAGAUUCGAAGUCAAGAACAUAUCUAAAUAAAAACAACCACCAUCUUAUCAAGUGCUUAUGAUGUGCCGAACAGUAUGUUAAGUGCUUUACACUCAUCUCAGGUGAGUGCUCUCACAAUCAUCAUAUGAAGGAAUUUUCCCUUUACAAAGAAAAGCAAGGCAAAGUUACACAGCUUAAUAGAAAUACAGUUUCCUAUCCAAAAAGUUAAAAAAAAAAACUGUUCAAGUUUUAAAAGUCCCACUUUAUGACUGGACUUUUGAGCGUCUUUAUUACCUUAAGGCACACUCUGAUUACGGGGACAAGGAGGGAAAACAAUACCUAUUACCAUCAUAUCUUUAGACCACAUAUUCCUAGGAACUCAGAAACUUCCAUCUGCCGCCAAGCACAAUUUUGGGCAAAAUCAAACAGAAGGUGACUGGCUCAGAAAUCAAGUGAUGUAAUUUUACACUCCCAGCAGAGAAGCCAAAGGUACUUAAAAGAGUUAUGGCAAAAUUUAACUCAUACCAGAUAUGUUCAAAAUUUAGUAUAUCUUCUAAAGCCCAGCAUUAAUUUAUCUUAUAAUCACCCAAAUAUAAACGUAACAAAAACUCUGUUGGGGGAAAGAAAUCUGUGAGGUAGUGUGUGGGCCUACCUGUGGCUGUUUCUGUAAUUUAGACUAGCUCCUUAGGGUAAACUGUAAAGGUAAAACUACUAUAAAAUUUCUUUCAAAAAUGGUUGUACUGGGCCAGGGAUUUAGCUCAGUGGUUCCGCCGCCUGCCUUGCAAGCACAAGGUCCUGAGUUUGAUCCCCAGUGCCAAAAAGAAAAUGGUUGUACCGAUCAAUGUAAAAGGCCCAUAGCAAAGCAUGAAAUGCACCAAAUAUGAGUAUAUUAUUAUCCUUACCAGAAUCAGGUUUUACAGUUUCUAUACAAAUACACAAUUGCACUUACAUGCUUUAUUAGAAAAGUAUUAUGAAAUAGGAAUUGUAACCUUGGUAGGGAAGGGCAGUACUGGGGAGUUGAACACAGGGUCUUUACUGAGCUACAUCCAUAGCCUUUUUUUAUUUUGAGAUAGGACCUCACUAUGUCACCAAACUGCCUAGGCUGGGCUUGAAUUUACAGUCUUCCUGACUCAGUCUCCCAGAGUGCUGGGAUUACAGGUAUGCACAAUGCACAUCGGGCUUGGGAUUGUAACUUUUAGGUAAUGUCAUCUGAAUGUUUUUCCAAAGAUUAUACUACACCAAAAUUAGUCUCGCCAAAAAUCUCCCAGGGAUGAAAGAGAACUGGAAAUAAAUAGUUUAAGCAUUCAGUAUAAUCAUUUCCCUGUGAAAUAAGAGAUGAGAAUUUUCAAGGCCACAAAAGAAUUGUUUAUAUACUGUUUCCAAGUGAAGUUUUAAGAAAAAUUAUCCCAGAAGACUGACGGCUAACAGUCAUUUAACAGCUAAAAUCAGGCAACCCAGCCUUUUAUAAGCAAGGAACCAGCAGUAAACAGCAUUAACUUCUCUAAUAUUAGAAGGAAAAUCUAUCUCCCCUCCCUUUGAAUAAAAUUUAUUCCAGAGAAAGGAACUCACUUCGGAAAAGGAAAGCUUGUCAGAAAAGAUAAAUGUGAAAACUGAAUCACCUGUAUAUAACACUGCCUAAGCAAUGGUGCAAUCCUGAAGCAGUCAUUUACAUUUUUAUACAUGCCCUACUUCUAACUUAUCUGUCAGAUAUCUGCCAGUCAAGAAAGUUCCACACUUUGAAUACUGACUGAAAUUAAGCAUUCUCGUAAUUAUUCCUGUUUUUAAAAAGAAAGGUCUUGCCAUGUAGUGCAAGUUGGCCCCAAACUUGCAAACCUCCUGCCUAGGCCUCCUGAGAAGCUGGAAUUACAGGCAUAUGCCACUACAUCUGGUUUUUUGGGGGGAAGGGGGUGCAAAUUGCUCUUCAUACAAUAGUAUUUCUGAGAUUUAACUAUAUGGUUGUCUAUUUAAGUCUGUAUUACAUAUCUGAACUACUGGAUAAUAUUCCAUUGUAUCAAUGACUAUUUAUAAAUUUGUAUGUGUGACACUGGGGAAUGAACACAGGGCCUUUAAUAAUGAGCUAUAUCCCCAGCUCUUUCUUUUAUUUUUUAUUUUGAUACAAGUCUCACUAACUUUCCCAGGCUGGGCUCAAACUUGGAAUACUCCUGCUUCAGCCUCCUAGAAUACUAGGGAUUAAAGGUGUGCAUUAUCAUGCCCAGCUUGCAAUGAGAUGUUCCUCAUUUAAUGACUGUUCAGACUUAUGACUCAUCUCUUUUUUUGUACAGUUCAGUACAUCUUGUUUAGAGCCUCAAUGUCUUUUUUUGUACAGUACACCUUUGUUAUACAGUACUGAUUUUUGCUGACUGCACUGUACAGUAGUUUUAUGAUCUGUUCUACAUUACAGUACCACGUGUAAGAGUUAUACAAAUAAAAGUCAGCCAGUUGGGAGUUUCCUUUGCUCAUUUCUUUGUCCUCAAUAUUGUAAUGUACCUACUAUAUACAAUUCCUCAUUUAGCAACCAAUUGAAUUAACAAUCCAGUCUCAGGUCUGUGUUCUGUCAUUAAACAAGGAAUGCCUAUAGCCUAUUAUAUUUUUGGCACAAGUUAUUUGUGGUGCAAAUAAAUACAGCAUUUGUGAAAAGACAAAUGUCUUCAUAAUGUAUUAUUUCUAUAAUGCCUGAUACUGGGGAAAAUAAGCUACCUGACAUUUUUUGGGUAUUCAAGCAAAACCAUCUCAUACAUGAGGUUGCUUAUUUUGCCUCAAUACCCCAAAAAUAUAUAGCUUGCCUGUUUUUUGUGUUUUGGGGUUUUGGGUUUUUUUUUUUCCCAGUACCAGAGAUCGAACUCAGGACCUUUCACUUACCAGGCAGGCAUGGCGUGGCUUGCCUGUUUCGAUGCAGAAGGGAGUAACUGGGAGCACAGUCUUAUGAGACCUGCUGAUCACAUAUGAUACAGGCAGAACAGCUGUGCCAUAGGGCCAGAAAAAUUUAUCAGUGCAUUUUUUUUAUUGGGCUCACUUCUAACAACUAUUUGCUUCCAACAGUUCCUCAACUGAUAAUAAAACUGAUGCAUGUGGAGUUAAUAUAAGUCUCAGAUAUAAACUCUUUGGAAAUGAUGUUACCUUUGAAACUUUGUGAUAUGUAGAAAUGUCCUAUAUCAUAUGGGUGCGUAUAUUUUCUCAAAGGUUAUAUAUACACUUUCUGAACCACAAGAAACUGAACAAUUAAUUAUCACUCAUAUUCUGGGCUCUGUGAUUGUUUUAUGUGAUUGAUUUUUGUCUGACACUCCUGGCUAGUAAGCUCCUUUACUGUGUACUAUAGAUGUCUUUCUGUGUGCAGAGGCAGACAGAGCAGUGGCUCAUUAAUGCCAGUUUCACUGUCAAAGAUAUUUGGCAUUUCCAAUGAUUUUUAUAGAAGCAGGCUCAUGGUCCUGAUAUCUUACUAGCAGUAUUUUAGUUUCACUGGUCCCUCACAAUGACCUUCAGAAGCUCCUUCAUUAAUGAGCCAAAAAUUGGCUGGGUGUGGUAGUGCAAGCCUGUAAUCCCAGCACUCAGGAAGCUGAGGCAGGAAGAUCACCAUGAGUUGGAGGCCAGCCAGGACUACAUGGUGAGUUGAAGGCCAGCCUGAAUUACAGAAUGAGACCCUGUCUCACCCCCCACCCCAAAGGAUAAGUCCUUUAGCAUAUUGUAUAGAGCUUUCACUUUUUUUUCUUCAUCUUCUUGGAACACUGGUGAUCAGAAAGGCUCAACACUUCAGAAGUCUUGUUUUUAAGGAAAUGUAGAAACCAAUGAUCUGAAUAUGAAACUGAUCAAGUAGUCCCCUACUAUAACUACUUACUCCAAAUGUGAAAUAAGAAUUACCCAGAUAUGGCUGCUUCUGCAGAAAGAGAAGUCAUAUACAUGCAGCCAUACAUAUCCUUAUUUGUGAGAAAUUACUCUGGAUUCCCACAAAGUGCAACUAAGAAAAGCAAGCAGUCUUCUAUCUCACUAUGCUAGGCUACCUAAUGCCUAGUAUCCUGGGUUAGGUCCCCUAGGAAACAUCGUAAGACCUUGCUUAUACAAGGUUUGCUGGGAAGUGCUCACAAAAGCAAAAGUGAAGGGGCCGUGCAUUUAGCUCAGUGGUUCCACCACCUGCCUCACAAGUGCAAGGUCCCAAGUUCAAUCCCCGGUACCAAAAAAAUAAAGGAAGAAUGAAGGGAGUAGGCUUAGGCAGAAGAUAAACUCCCAUGUGUGGUGGUAGAUUGAAUCCAGGGCUUUGCACAUGUCAGGCAAGCACUCUUUAUCACUGUGCUACACUCCCAGCCCUGCUUCUUUACUCUUUAAGUUUUUAUUAUUUAAAAAAAAAAGUUUUUAUUUUUUUCAUCAUUACCAGUAUAAUAUAUUGUUUUUAUUAACUUGUUCUAUAAAAUGACAUUAUGGUGAUUCAACAUUACUUUUAGGCUAUACUUUUUGCUAGGUAGACUAACUUAAUAAGUAGAAUUUUAAAGUUACAUCUGUGCUAUGGUUAAACAAAUUAACUCAUCGUACUAGUAAAGCAGGUAACACACAAUCCCUAAAAAAGUUAUAAAAGUUAUCUGGUGGAUAUGGUGCAUGCCUAUAAUCCCAGCUGGUGUGGGAGGCUGAGGCAGAAUGAUCACAAGUUCCAGGCCAGCCUGGGCAACUUAGGCAGACUCUGUCUCAAAGUUAAACAAAAAGGGACACGGACACAGCUCAGAGGCAGAGCACCUGUCUAGCAAGCAUGCACAAGGCCCUGGGGUCAGUCUCCAGUAUGGAGAGAUACUUUGUUUGUGACACUUAAUUAGUACUAUUUUUUUUUUUUUUUCAGGUACCGGGGAUGGACCUCAGGACCUUGUGCUUUCGAGGCAGGCACCAGAACCACUGAGCUAAAAUCCCCAGCCCCUAGUACUAUUAAACUCAUUUUCUGUACAAUAUCAAGACAAAACUCUUAUUUAUUCCCAAAAUAUAUAAUGUACUGUCUAAAGGUUGGAUAAAUGUAGGCUUCUAUGGGAUUAUUUUAUUCUUCUUCCUGGUUGUCAUCAAGGUCUUUUCUGAUGAGAAAAUAUGUAUGAAUGUGAAGAACAAGCCCUAAGGGUGUUCUUGUUUUGAAGAGGAUGUAUCACCUAUAAAGAGCCAAUGCAGUGAGUUCAGCUUUGUGAAGACUGACACAGAUGCUGGUUGUAUACAAGAUGAAUAUUCAGGGUAGAAGUGGAGACAUUCAUCAAUGAUGUUCAGUACAAGGAGACUAAGGGAAGAAUAUGUUAAUAAGAACCUGAUCUAACAAUGUGGCAGCCAAGAGUCAAAGGAAAAGGCCAGAUACAAGAACCACAGACUUAAAAAAAAGAAAGAAACCACAGACUAAAUGUGAUGGAAGUAUGAGACACAAAAUUAUCAGCAAACACAGACUAAAGAUAAACAAGAUAUAUAAACAAGAUGUUGAAAACAGGAAUAAUUUGAAGACUGUAAGAUUAUUGGUACACCUGAUAGUAGGAAAAAAUAUUUACUUUCAACAUUCAAGGAGACUUAAAAGUACAUAUGAAUCUUUGCAGAAACUAGAGAUACUAAGUAUGACAACAGGGUGAGUAGUGAAUAAACUAGACUUUCUUCCAGCUUGCAUUGGAUACAUUUGAUCGUAAAAGUAGCAAAUAAAACUUAAGCCAGGGCCAGUGAUUUAGCUCAGUGGCACAGUGCCUGCCCUACUAGCGCAAGGUCCUGAGCCUGAUCCCUGGUACCAAAAAAAAUUUUUUAAAUUAAGCCAGCGUGAUGCUGUUCAAGGAUAGACAAUUAAACCAAUGAAAAUAAAAUAGCUGGGUGUAGUGGCACAAGCCUAUAAUCCCACCAUUAGGGAGCCUGAGGCAGGAGAGUUUGAAGUCAGCUUGGACUGCAUAGUGAGGUUAUAAACAACAUUAAAAAACCCUGUGGAGAGGGGCGUUGGGGUGUAUAUGUGUGAACACAUACCUGGAGAUGUGAUUUUAUAACAUUAUCUGGAAUUGUGUAUCAAGGGAGAAAGGGAAGAUUUGUCAAUAAAUGGUGUAGUUACUUUGAGGGAACAGAGGGGUGAAAAUCCAACCUCUAUCACAUCAUGCAUAAAAAUCAUUUGCAGUAAAUUAAAACAGGGAGGUCAAAGUUAUAAAUAUUGCAGAAGAUAUUAGACAGCAGCUUUUUGGUGGCAAGGAAGAGAAGGAUUUUUUAAUUAAGACAAAAAAGUAAAAUCCACAAAGGACUAAUGAAUUCAACUAUAUUAAAAUUAAGAACUUCUGGGGCCGGGGAUUUAGAUCAGUGGUUCUGCCGCCUACCUUGUAAGCGCAAGGUCCCAAGUUCAAUCCCCAGUACCAAAAAAAAAAAUUAAGAGCUUCUGUUGAUGCAAAUAUACCAUAGAGUAAAAUAACAAGCAUACAAACCAAUGUUCUCACAGAAAAUUAGUCUAGAAACUUGGACAGGUGUUUCACAAAGAAAAUGUCAAUAGUCAAACCCAUGAAAUGAUGUGCAGUUUCAUUGGCAACUAGGGCACUGCACAUCAAGUCCACAGUGACCUACUGUUUUUCAACAUGCAGGUUUUUAAAUUUUAAGCAUGUGAUAAUAUAAAAUUUUGGAAAGGACAGAGAGCAAGUGGCAUCAUUAUGGUUGCCAAUAGGAGAACACAGAGGAAAACUUUUUAAAAAUUUUGGGGGUCUGAGAAUUUAACGCAGUGGCACCACACCUGCCUGGCAAGCCCAAGGUCCUGAGUUCAAUUCCCAUUACCAAAAACAAAAAACUGGGGACCCGGGGAUGUAGCUCAGUGGCACUGGGCUUGCCUGGCAAGCACAAGACCCAGAGUUCAAUUCCUGGUACUGGAGAAAAAAAAAUUGGGCUUAGUCAAAAUGAUGUGCAUGUGUCCUUCAGAGUGACAAUUCUACUCUUAGGUACGUAUUCUGAAGCAGUGGUGGUGAAUGUAUAGCACUUGUGCUACAGGCAGAUGUUGUUAUCACUGAAAGCUCUGGGACAUGCCUGUAAUCCCAGCCACUUGGGAGGCUGAGGCAGAAGGACUGCUCUCAAGUUCCAGGUCAGCCUGGGCUACAUAGUGAGACCUUGUCUCAAAAAAAAAGGGGCUCUAAAAGGGUUGCCCUCACUGCCCUAGAGAAACUCUCAUAGUAUAUGUGAAGUAGGAAAGGAGGACGGCCACAGUGUAUAAUAGUAAAAACAAAGCUGGACGUGAUGGCACACAUUUGUAAUCCCAGCACUCUGGGAGGCUGAGGGUGAAGGAUCAUAAAUUCUAGUCCAACCUGGGCAAUUUAAUGACUAGAGAGAACCUGUCUCAAAAUAAAAAAUUUAAAGGGGAAGGGCCCUGAGUGUGAAGGCCCUGAGUUCAAGCCCUAGUACUGCAAAGGAGAAAAGGGAGGAGGGGGGGAGUAAAGCAGAGCAGCAACACAAUUCACCCAUCCCAAAUCAGAAAAGAACAGCAAUUAGAAUAAAAAGUAGAGGCAAUUUCUCUAAUGAAAUACUACACAACAAUGAGAAAGAUAAACUGUAGCUACCUACAACAAUACAGAUCAAUGUAAAGGAUAUAAUCAACAAAAGUCGUAAAAGAAUACAUUCAUUAUAAUUUCACACAUAUAAAUUUAAAAAUAUAUGAUACAUUGUUUAAGAAUACAAACUUGGGGAAAUUAUGAAUGGUAAAAACCCAGAAUUAAGAGUGUGAGAAAAGAAUGGGACAGAAGAAAGGAAUGGGGGGUGUUGUUAAUGGUAAAUGUUCAGAUUCUUUAGAUAUGAAAUUUCAUAGUUUCUUUUUUAGCUAUCAUUUAAUUUUGGUUUUUUUGAGACAUGGUCUCACUAUGUAGUCCAGGCUGGCCCUGAACUCAGUGAUCUUCCCGACUCAGAUUCCCAAGUGCUAUGAUUAUAGACAUGCAUCACCAUGCCUUGCUGAGAAACUUUUAUUUGCCAUGUCACUACAACAACCAAGGAAAUAAAGAUCAAAUAAAGGGAGGCGGGAGUGUUUAAUGGUCUUAGCAGUGUAAACUGAAAUGGGAUUUUUCUUUUUUAAAAAUGUACAAAACCAAAAUGUAAGUUAUCCUUUACCAAUCAUAGUGUUCAUUACAAGAAGAUGCAAGAAACAUCAGUGUCCAGCAGUAGUCAGGAUGGUAGGCUUAAGGCAAAAUGGAAGAAACUACCCUGAAAUAACUUGAUUGUCAGAAAUUUUACUACCAGUGAAAAGAACGUACUACCAUAUACAACUGGCUUUAAAAAAAAAAAAAAAAAAAAA
Molecule: non-coding RNA, 8264 nt
Organism: Heterocephalus glaber (naked mole-rat)
Lineage: Eukaryota; Metazoa; Chordata; Mammalia; Rodentia; Bathyergidae
Source: RefSeq, a predicted model, not a curated record